RNAcentral lists this unclassified non-coding RNA (74 nucleotides) under Pseudomonas umsongensis. Lineage: Bacteria; Pseudomonadati; Pseudomonadota; Gammaproteobacteria; Pseudomonadales; Pseudomonadaceae. The record is from RNAcentral.
AAAGAUCGCAGCCUUCGGCAGCUCCUACAGGGGAUCGUAUUCCUCUGUAGGAGCUGCCGAAGGCUGCGAUCUUU